GGGGAUGUAAAGGUUUCGACGGGGAUUACAAGCCUUAGUAAGCGAGCAGUGGAGCGGCGCCACUUCUAAAAGUCGCAGUUUAUAAAUUAAACGACACAAAUGAUUUAGAAGUAAUACCUUUUCCACAACAAACGAAAUAUUUAUAUUCAGCUGUUGCAUAAUAAGUAAAAGUGUUAUUACCGUUUCUUUUAAGACUACCGCGGCUUAUUAGAUGCGUCAUUUAGCGGUGCACGUGAACGAGGAAGUUGCCUUACAACCUUGUCAUGAUUUUAAAGGCUGAUUGAAAAUUAGGUUUGUUAUUAUGCCUUUUUUCAAAAAUUUUAAAUAAUAACUAUGCUCGUAGAAAGCUUUGGUGAAUAAUUUUCGGACGGGGGUUCAACUCCCCCCAUCUCCACCA
Molecule: transfer-messenger RNA, 397 nt
Filed under: Oscillospiraceae bacterium
Lineage: Bacteria; Bacillati; Bacillota; Clostridia; Eubacteriales; Oscillospiraceae
Rfam family: transfer-messenger RNA
About the family: Bacterial tmRNA, also known as 10Sa RNA or SsrA, is named for its dual tRNA and mRNA-like properties. Its role is to liberate the mRNA from a stalled ribosome.
Source: RNAcentral